Biomphalaria pfeifferi is the source of this 1118-nucleotide non-coding RNA. Lineage: Eukaryota; Metazoa; Mollusca; Gastropoda; Planorbidae. The record is from the annotation of a GenBank genome assembly.
UGGACUCAGAGGUGCCCAAAGAUCCCAAAAUUGAAAAUCCCAGUCUUCAUUUAGGUACUUCUUUAUUAUAGUGAUUUUUCUUCACAAGAAUUAAGGUGAAAAUAUUACUCAUUGCCAGUGGUAUUUCAGUUUACUGAUCCUCACCAAAAGGUACUUGUUUGAAAAGCACUGACCUUUAUUAAUGUUAAUAAAAUGAUAAGUUAUCCAUGUAAAGUACUUUGAAAAAAAAAUUAUAUUAGAAAUAAGUGAAUGCUGCAUCAGACAUCAAGUGAGUAAAUAAGAAGGCCACAUUUUAAAGCAGCAUGUAGCUAAUUGUUUAGUGUUACAAGUUUACAUGUUUAAAACACUAAGAUCUUUGGAUAAACUAUUCUUAUCACCAGUCCAGUCAGCAUGUCAACAAUGGACUCUAUUUACAGGCCACUUUGGUCAGUACACACACAAAAAACACACUUGUCACUAUACAGUCAGUACACACACACAGCACAUUGUCAUGAUACAUGUGUAAAACAAAACAACAGCUAUUCUUGUGUAUAACACAUAAUGACCUGUUUUCUUUGUAUCAAAUAUUGUAAACAUAAUUUCGUUUGUUUUAUUCAGACAGACAUUUCUAAUGUUCUUGCAUCUCAUGUCAGUGCCUGCUCAAUGGACCUCAUUCACCAAUCGUAAACAAACAACAUUUAGCAUAGUGGUACUCUAUCUCUUCUAUAUAAUUUACGAUCUCAUGUUUAAUUCAUGAUGGUUGUCACAUGACAGUUUUUUCCCGUUGUUUUAUCACGUGACAAAAUGUUGUUUGUUUACAAUUGGUGAAUGAGGUCAAUUGAACUUGUUCCACUUGUGAUAGCCUUUAUCCACUGCUUGAUAUUGUACACCAGGAACAACAAGCUGGCUUCACAACAGAAGCUUUCAAUUCCCUGUGAUGUAUAAGAACAAAUAUUUUAAAAUGGUUAUUUUUUAAUGCAUGUUCUUAUCAUGACUAUUGUCUUGUAAAUUUGCAUUUGUCACCUUCAAAAAAGAUUAUUGUUUGUAAUAGUCUCUACUUGAGCCCUGCAUGACAUUGACCCUAUGAGAAAUACAUUGUAAACCUAUAGAUAAUCCAAUACAAUGAAACUGACAUCUCU